Molecule: long non-coding RNA, 363 nt
Filed under: Lathyrus oleraceus (garden pea)
Lineage: Eukaryota; Viridiplantae; Streptophyta; Magnoliopsida; Fabales; Fabaceae
Description: Pisum sativum (pea) long non-coding RNA (PSAT_LNC040375)
Source: RNAcentral
UUUGUUGGAGUCAAUGUAGAUUGUAAAGGCCAGAUCUACUUCUUUCGAAUGUGUAUUCUCCUUGUAAUAUAUAAGGGAAUGUCAUAACUUAUUUAAUUUAAUUUUUAUUAUUCUUUUAUAAUCCACAUGGAUUUUAUUUUUAAUUUUUAAAAAAAUAUUAAUUUCUCUUUUAAUUUUUUUCAUUUAUAUUUUGUGAAUGAUGAAUUUCCUCUCACACUCACACCAUUCCCCACGCCUUUUUCCUUCUUCUUCCUCCAUGAAAUUCACCAAUACAUAAUCCUAAUAAUUUCCAUGAUAAACUUUGUUCGGGGCACCGUUGAGAGUGUCGACUUUUGGUUAUCCGUGUGUUGUUUUUAGUUGGAU